Long non-coding RNA from Daphnia pulicaria, 476 nucleotides. RefSeq lists it as uncharacterized. The transcript is spliced from 3 exons. Lineage: Eukaryota; Metazoa; Arthropoda; Branchiopoda; Diplostraca; Daphniidae. The record is from RefSeq and is a predicted model, not a curated record.
GGGAUGAUGGCAGUAUCAUAGCUGUCCUUGGAUUGAAACAAGAAAUUAUUCAAAGUUACAUGUUUAAAUGUGUGCACAAUACAGAAGUUGGACCUACACUCAUUCUCCGUACUGGAAGCUCUUCUUGAGUAGCCGUCUGUGACAGUUUUGGUUGGUGUCUCACAGGCUCCAGGAGGAAUAAUCAAUCCUCUUCUAAUCAUCUCAAAUUUUGUUCUAUGGGACAGAAACUUAAAUAACCUAGAAAAAAUGAAAAAAUGUUAACUAAAUCACCUUAAAGGCAGGACAAACGUUUAUUAAAUGUUAAAGCAUUCUGAUUUUUAAAUUUCUGAAAUGCAUACACUUUUGGUAUUAAAGGUAUCGCAAAAGCCACAAGGUUACGAUUUCAUAAUAAAUGGAGGAAAAGAACAUUUACUUGGUCAUCAUUUUGAAGGAACUUGAUGAAGUAACAAGAUAAGAACAGGAAAAUCCAGAAUCAA